CCAGUUUUUAAAAGAGAGAUUUUAACUCUCACCCCUGGCUCCCAAAGCCAGAAUUCUGAACUAAACUAUUCUCUG
RNAcentral lists this transfer RNA (75 nucleotides) under Gymnocypris dobula. Its description in RNAcentral is "tRNA-Pro". Lineage: Eukaryota; Metazoa; Chordata; Actinopteri; Cypriniformes; Cyprinidae. The record is from RNAcentral.